AGAGCGAACGCUGGCGGCAGGCCUAACACAUGCAAGUCGAGCGCCCCGCAAGGGGAGCGGCAGACGGGAGAGUAACACGUGGGAACGUACCCUUCAGUUCGGAACAACCCAGGGAAACUUGGGCUAAUACCGAAUACGUCCGUAAGGAGAAAGAUUUAUCGCUGAAGGAUCGGCCCGCGUCUGAUUAGCUUGUUGGUGAGGUAACGGCUCACCAAGGCGACGAUCAGUAGCUGGUCUGAGAGGAUGAUCAGCCUCACUGGGACUGAGACACGGCCCAGACUCCUACGGGAGGCAGCAGUGGGGAAUAUUGGACAAUGGGCGCAAGCCUGAUCCAGCCAUGCCGCGUGGGUGAUGAAGGCCCUAGGGUUGUAAAGCCCUUUCGGCGGGGAAGAUAAUGACGGUACCCGCAGAAGAAGCCCCGGCUAACUUCGUGCCAGCAGCCGC
This 444-nucleotide ribosomal RNA is filed under the name uncultured bacterium. RNAcentral's name for it is "SSU rRNA". It matches the Rfam family "Bacterial small subunit ribosomal RNA", at positions 26 to 518 of the family's 1533-position model. The record is from RNAcentral.